UAAGGAAUAUUGGUCAAUGGACGCAAGUCUGAACCAGCCAUGCCGCGUGGAGGAUUAAGGCCCUCUGGGUUGUAAACUCCUUUUAUCUGGGAAGAAAUGCUUUGAUUCUUCGAAGCUUGACGGUACCAGAGGAAUAAGCACCGGCUAACUCCGUGCCAGCAGCCGCGGUAAUACGGAGGGUGCAAGCGUUAUCCGGAUUCACUGGGUUUAAAGGGUGCGUAGGCGGGUAAGUAAGUCCGUGGUGAAAUCUCUGAGCUUAACUCAGAAACUGCCGUGGAUACUAUUUGCCUUGAAUAUUGUGGAGGUGAGCGGAAUAUGUCAUGUAGCGGUGAAAUGCUUAGAUAUGACAUAGAACACCAAUUGCGAAGGCAGCUCACUACACAAUGAUUGACGCUGAGGCACGAAAGCGUGGGGAUCAAACA
This 422-nucleotide ribosomal RNA is filed under the name uncultured Chitinophagaceae bacterium. RNAcentral's name for it is "bacterial SSU rRNA". It matches the Rfam family "Bacterial small subunit ribosomal RNA", at positions 355 to 774 of the family's 1533-position model. The record is from RNAcentral. Lineage: Bacteria; Pseudomonadati; Bacteroidota; Chitinophagia; Chitinophagales; Chitinophagaceae.